GGGUCAGCAGAUUAUGAUCCAGAGGCCAAGCCCAGCCUGUCUGCUUUUGUGUAUAAAGUUCUCAUGGAACAGAGCUGUGAGCCUGCCGUGUGUGGUCUACGGCUGCCCCUGGACACAGCUGCAGAGCUGAUUCCCGCACAGACCUCGGGGCCCACAGAGGGAGGCGCUUUCCCUCCAUCAUCCCCACUGAGCACCAGCCGCCACAGCCGCUAAAACCUGCGGAACUCACUCCAUGCCCCUUGUUGGCUUUCUUCACAUAAAGUGGAUAAAACUGGGUGUUUACAGCCUAAAGCAGCCCAUGCCAAGGCACUCCUCAGGGACUGAGCCUUAGUCACAGUCCUUGUGACUACAGCACGUCCAUAGAUGGGAGCUGGCCGAGGGAUCCGUGUGCCUCCAGCUUCUCGGAGCUGGAAAGAAUCCAUACUGGAAAAAUGUUCCUUCAGUGCUCCUCCUUCUGGGAAAAAAAGACGGGGAGCUACAUCAACCUUAAGGGUUCAUGUUGCUUGAAUUCAGCCCACAACCACCGAGUCCCAGGAAGCCCAGCCGAGACCGCGGCAGGUCCUGACGCAGCAUCAGCCUGAGUCUGAGCCCAGAGGAAGCUUCUGCUGCCACAAUUGCUGCGUGUGCUCAUGGCUUGGGUGCAGGCCCAACCACAGCGGACCAAGGGCAGGCUGAGAUUUGGCCUGGACUGGAGGGCUGUCUCAAGGAGGUAUCUUAAAUAGUGAAGAUGGAGAAAUAUUCAAUAAUGAAGAGCAUGAAUAUGCAUCCAAAAAAAGGAAAAAGGACCAUUUUAGAAAUGACACAAAUACUCAAAAGGCAUGGCUAUUGCACCUUGGGAGAAGCCUUUAAUCGGUUAGACUUCUCAAGUGCAAUUCAAGAUACCCGAAGGUUCAAUUAUGUGGUCAAAAUGAUGAUUAUUCCCCACCUUCUAAGAGACAAAGACCAACGAGCCACCACAGCCACCAGUCCCAGAACCCGCCAAUGCUGGGGAACGGAAAAUGAGGGAGUUCAACUCUGGCCCUCACAAUCCAGUGGAGGAGACGAAACUCAUCUGCCUCUGUCCCUCUGGGCACGCCUCAUGCCAGGUGCAUCUGUGGACAGGGGCCAUGCUCCUGGGCUUCCAAAGUUGGAGAAAGCUGCCAGGCUCAGGUGGGUACAUCACAGCAGCUGCUGCCCUCUGAACACAGUGACAAAAGAACACUGUGGGCCUGGAGCCCUGGUCUGGGGCAUUGCGCAAGGCUGUUGCACUUCUCUGAUCCCAUUUCCCCAUCUGGAAAGUGCGCUGAUUGUAUCUCCCUGUGGGCACUGA
Molecule: long non-coding RNA, 1309 nt
Filed under: Pan troglodytes (chimpanzee)
Lineage: Eukaryota; Metazoa; Chordata; Mammalia; Primates; Hominidae
Description: lncRNA (ENSPTRG00000054017.1)
Source: RNAcentral